Molecule: non-coding RNA, 1016 nt
Organism: Sus scrofa (pig)
Lineage: Eukaryota; Metazoa; Chordata; Mammalia; Artiodactyla; Suidae
Source: RefSeq, a predicted model, not a curated record
CUUCCCGCUUCCGCGGCGGCGCAGCGCCAGGGCGGGACGGCUUAAACGCUGAGCGCUCGUUUGGAGGAGACGUGUGGAGUUCAAAACCGCCCUGAAACACAGAGCUGCGUGUCUUUCCACGCUAGGGACCUGGAAUCUCUGGAAGCAUCGCCCAAUGAGAUUUACGGUGGCCUCUUGGGCACCCGAGGGGAACGAGGUGGCUGCAGAACACAACCGUCUCCGGUUUCGUUUCCUUCGUUUCCGGUUUGCUUUUUAGGACACCUUAAAAGGGGGGUUCACCGUGCUGGAGUAAGGAGUGACGGGGCACGCGACAGAUGACAGUGCGCACCAACGCAUCCACCACGACAGGCUAAAAUGGGAUGCUGUGAAUUCCCCAACAGGCCGUCGGAGACCCGAGGAAACAGGAUUGUCCAGACUUGACACAACGCUUUUGAUUCUACUGUUAAUGCCAAUGGGAGGGCAACCUUCGGAGGAGACACUGUCAUCCCCAACGACAAGUCAGGAUUCGGGACCCAGAGAGAGUCCGCGAUUUGUCCCAGGUUUCCUCGCAAAUGCCACCUGGCAAGGCUGGAAUCCAGGUCUCCAGUCGGCAUGUCAGGAUCUUCUGUUUUCAAGCACGUGGCCCCGCCAGAGUCUGGCUGGAUGUAGGCAGCACAAAAGCCCUCACACACAUGCAGGAAAACCCUCUUAAAGGAAUAUGAUCAAUACGUACGCCUGGAUUACAGAUUGCAGGGAUGGACAGUCAGUAAAAAGGGCGAGAUGUACAACUCACUACUCGCAUUCAGUUCGUUAAAGCCCACUGAGCUACCCGUUCAAAAAUAUGCCCCCUUGUGUUUAGUUUUUAAGUGGUGUGUCAGAUAAGAAUCCCUAGACCUGAAUUUGAUUAAACUAACAGCCUCUGGUCAAAAGUUCUUGAGAAAUGAGUUUACUUAUGAAAAAAAUAAAGAGGAUAUGAGUCUUUUUUAUUUUGUCACAUAUUAUUUGUAAGAUUUCUUGCUUACACUCACAAAUUUUUU